UUGCCUGUGGCAGCAGGAGCUUGGCCCUCUCCAGCUUUCUUUCUAGCUCCUUUACAUUGAGCUGGAUCUCCGACUUUUCAGAUUCUACAAGUCGAAGUUUCUCUUGUAGUUUGACAUUUUUCUCCUUCAGCUCCUCAUCGAUUAUGCUAUGGCCAGAGACAGUAGAGAAAGGAAUGAACGAAGAACAGAAAGGAACGCUUUGGUGACCAACCCUCUGCUUUCACCCCACAACCACAGAACCGUGGCAUCGGAUGGGACCCCAGGAAUUAAAAGUCCCAGGUGGCAGGCCAGAGAGAAGAUAUGAGUUGCCUGAGGCUACCCCAAAGAGGAAGACAGAGCUCUUACCAGGGGGAGGCAGAGAUGGCACAGCAAGGGACAUGCCGCCAGAAUGGCACCACUGCCCCAGGACAGGCCCACCCAUGGGACCAGCAGAUGGAGAGGAUUCAAACCCAGAAUUCUUAACCAGUGCCUGGGAGAUCUUCCACAAUCUUAACAAUUACCCUCCACCACCCCUUGGGCCCUCUGUCCCCAGGAGCCUGGCCAGCCAAGACUCACAUCCUCAGACUCAAAGGAAACUGAUGCUUCAGAAAGAUACCCCGUAUUUAUCCUGUGGCACUCAAAGUACCCCAGGUGGAGAUGAGAUGAGGAAUAUUCAAGCUGUCAAGUUCAGUUUCCCAAGAUCUGUUCCACAGAAGAUAAGCAGAUCUCACUCCAGAAACCACUGACUGAGGGGCACUCUGGUCCCAGAACAAUGCAGAAUUCAAAUCUGAGGUGGGGAACUCAGAAACAAUGUUCGAGUCUCUCUGGAGAGUAGAAGCCUGGGAGAAAACCAAACCCAACCCGUUC
RNAcentral lists this long non-coding RNA (846 nucleotides) under Piliocolobus tephrosceles (Ugandan red Colobus). Its description in RNAcentral is "lncRNA (ENSPTEG00000024918.1)". Lineage: Eukaryota; Metazoa; Chordata; Mammalia; Primates; Cercopithecidae. The record is from RNAcentral.